Molecule: unclassified non-coding RNA, 347 nt
Filed under: soil metagenome
Description: partial contains 5.8S ribosomal RNA, internal transcribed spacer 2, and large subunit ribosomal RNA
Rfam family: 5.8S ribosomal RNA (bases 1-119)
Source: RNAcentral
GAUGAAGAACGUAGUGAAAUGCGAUAAGUAAUGCGAAUUGCAGAAUCCGUGAGUCAUCGAAUCUUUGAACGCACAUUGCGCCCUUUGGUAUUCCGAAGGGCAUGCCUGUUCGAGCGUCAUUAUCACCCCUCAAGCCCCGGCUUGGUGUUGGGCUCUCGGUGGUCGUCUCCGACCACCCGUCUCAAAGAUAGUGACGGCGUCCCAGAGGGAAUCGGUACGAGGAGCUUUCACGAGCAUGUACGCGGGACGACUCUGCGGGCGACGGUCUUAUUUACUUUAUAUACAAGUGUUGACCUCGGAUCAGGUAGGAAUACCCGCUGAACUUAAGCAUAUCAAUAAGCGGAGGA